Molecule: long non-coding RNA, 286 nt
Filed under: Homo sapiens (human)
Lineage: Eukaryota; Metazoa; Chordata; Mammalia; Primates; Hominidae
Description: non-protein coding lnc-NYAP2-2:1
Source: RNAcentral
UGCAAAAGAAAUAUGCUUUCAUUCCAUUUUUUUCUUCUGUAUUCACUCUUUCUUUUUUGCUAGGUGGCAUGCAUGCAGUGGUUUCAUGGAGACCAUACAAUGCUUGAGAUGAUUGAGAAAAAGCGUUGCUUGUGCAAGGAAAUAAAGGCUAGACAGAAAACGGAAAAGGGCCUUUGCAAACAGGAUAGCAUGCCUAUCUUGCCCAGCUGGAAGAAGAAUGCAGGUGCCAAGAAGUACAGCCCUCCACCGUAUUCUAAACAGCAAACGGUAUUCUGGGAUACUGCCA